RNAcentral lists this non-coding RNA (147 nucleotides) under unclassified sequences. RNAcentral describes it as "RT-3 RNA". It matches the Rfam family "RT-3 RNA". The record is from Rfam by way of RNAcentral.
AAUCGGCCUACCAUACCAGGGACGUGAUUCCUAACAUGGAGCCGAGGGAAACGAACCUCAGCAAACUACCAAUAUGGGAAAGCUGAAAAAUCAAGUGUUGGGUGGAGUUUGGUAGGCCGUUCUUACGGCUCGAAGAAGUCAGACCCA